UCAGGACGAACGCUGGCGGCGUGCUUAACAUAUGUAAGAUUAAUGGGAAGAGAUGAAGAGCUUGCUCUUUAUCGUAUCCUGUGGCAAACGGGUGAGUAACACGUAAACAACCUGCCUUCAGGAUGGGGACAACAGACGGAAACGACUGCUAAUACCGAAUACGUUCCACGGGCCGCAUGACCUGUGGAAGAAAGGGUAGCCUCUACCUGUAAGCUAUCGCCUGAAUAGGGGUUUGCGUCUGAUUAUGCAGUUGGUGGGGUAACGGCUCACCAAACCAAUUAUCAUUAGCCGGUUUGAGAGGAUUAACGGCCACACUGGAACUGAGACACGGUCCAGACUCCUACGGGAGGCAACAGUGGGGAUUCUUCCUUAUUGGACGAA
This 381-nucleotide ribosomal RNA is filed under the name uncultured bacterium. Its description in RNAcentral is "bacterial SSU rRNA". It matches the Rfam family "Bacterial small subunit ribosomal RNA", at positions 24 to 379 of the family's 1533-position model. The record is from RNAcentral.